Molecule: ribosomal RNA, 468 nt
Filed under: uncultured bacterium
Lineage: Bacteria
Description: partial 16S ribosomal RNA
Rfam family: Bacterial small subunit ribosomal RNA
Source: RNAcentral
GACGAACGCUGGCGGCGUGCUUAACACAUGCAAGUCGAACGGAAAGGCCCUGCUUUUGUGGGGUGCUCGAGUGGCGAACGGGUGAGUAACACGUGAGUAACCUGCCCUUGACUUUGGGAUAACUUCAGGAAACUGGGGCUCAUACCGGAUAGGAGCUCCUGCUGCAUGGUGGGGGUUGGAAAGUUUCGGCGGUUGGGGAUGGACUCGCGGCUUAUCAGCUUGUUGGUGGGGUAGUGGCUUACCAAGGCUUUGACGGGUAGCCGGCCUGAGAGGGUGACCGGCCACAUUGGUACUGAGAUACGGCGCAGACUCGUACGGGAGGCAGCAGUGGGGAAUAUUGCGCAAUGGGCGGAAGCCUGAGGCAGCAGCGCCGGGUGCGGGAUGACGGCUUUCGGGUUGUAAACCGCUUUCGCCUGUGACGAAGCGUGAGUGACGGUAAUGGGUAAAGAAGCACCGGCUAACUACGUG